ACCUUGUCAAUUUGCUCAAGAUAUAGCUCAAGACACAACCACUAGUAAAUCAGGUCACUUACUACCCUUAGAUUGCAUGCACUGACUUCAAAAUCCAAUACCUCCUUUACUUCAACUUGGAAUCCAGCAAGCAAUAUACAAAAAGUAUAGCCGGAAAAGUGCUCUCUCUAGUCACAAUCGUCGAUCCUCAAUUACUCGUUAUGACAAAAAGAAUGACAGUAGCUCCCAAAUCAACACCUUAACUUUGAGCACCUAUAUCUCCUUCAUAUAAACUCCAAACUAUAUAAAACUUGUAUCAAAAUCAUAGCCAAAAACCUAAACUUGGUGAUCCUAGCCUUCAAAGCUC
RNAcentral lists this long non-coding RNA (346 nucleotides) under Physcomitrium patens. RNAcentral describes it as "long non-coding RNA (PPAT_LNC009887)". Lineage: Eukaryota; Viridiplantae; Streptophyta; Bryopsida; Funariales; Funariaceae. The record is from RNAcentral.